This is a long non-coding RNA of Alosa alosa (allis shad), 1127 nucleotides long. RefSeq lists it as uncharacterized. The transcript is spliced from 3 exons. The record is from RefSeq and is a predicted model, not a curated record. Lineage: Eukaryota; Metazoa; Chordata; Actinopteri; Clupeiformes; Clupeidae.
UAGCACUGCAAGGGAAACAGUUUAUGGGACUGAGACUCAGAACUAAUGCACCUGGAUUCCUAUUUGAUGUAUUUUUAUCUCACUAAAGAGGGAAUAUAUGAACCACCUCAAAUGUCUUCAAGAUUGUUAUUGGUAUGAAGUGGCCAGACAAACCAGGGAGGAGUACUUAUUUUCAUCGCUGUAGGACCAGUCAGAUAAUGGAGCAGCACUGGAUUUGGUGUUCCAGCAUGGAUUCAGCAUCUGACACCCGCCCAUCCAAAGAGCACUACCCCAGAAAGACAUUGGUGCCGAGGUUAUGGUAUCACUCACCUGAUCCUCUGAGCAGAGGCGGCGCCAGUGGUGGGGGAACGAGUGAGCGGGCUCUCUCUCUCUCUGUGUGUGUGUGUGUCAGGUGGAAGCCAGGCUGGGCCGCCCGCAGCUGGGUCACCGGUGGUGUGGAGGGAGAGAUGCUCUGACAGCCAGAGACCGAUCCCUCAUUACAGCAGCAGCAGGGGUCAAGGCGAGGAGGCGAGCGUCCCACCUGCCUGAAAUUGGCCAUAAAAAUGACCAAUUACACAAGACUUCUGCACCAAGAGAGAAAGAGAGGGAGAGAGAGAGAGAGAGAAAAGAGAGAGAGAAAAAUGUCUUGAUAUAUGGUGGUUACUUAAUGCAUCAACAAAAAUGAAGAAACCUGCAGCGCACCCUUUGAGUUUUUUUUUUACCCAGGCGAGGCCAAUGGCUUACAUCACUAAAACAAAAAUUCAGAAGCCAAAAAUCAACUGUGAAUUAAAAAAAAAAGUCAACAAAUCAAAAUCCAUGAAAAUCAUUGCUGAACAAAACCACGUGGCAGUAGUAUUCCAAACAGCUGGAUCAGAGACUGGGACCCAUUGAUGUGGGCAAAGGGUGAAAGGAGUGGGAGAAGAACAGCGCUGUGUAAUAUGACAUGGCUGGGUAAACUAUUUACGUUGCCUCCUCUGCUCCAUAUUAAGACAAUGCGUGAUUAAAUGCCAGCGAAUGCGUGCAGGGGUUGAAUUAAUGGCCUGGUAAAUGAGAAACAUGCAAAUAUCCCAAUUAAACAAUUUGCUGUGGUGGCCGAGGCUCUGGCGGGUUCAGCUGCAGCCGAGGGCCUUGGGAGCAGUGCUCCUUUU